This is a long non-coding RNA of Pongo pygmaeus (Bornean orangutan), 4313 nucleotides long. RefSeq lists it as uncharacterized. NCBI's taxonomy places the organism in Eukaryota, Metazoa, Chordata, Mammalia, Primates, Hominidae. The record is from RefSeq and is a predicted model, not a curated record. The transcript has 3 exons.
CUCAUCCCCCUUUGCAUGGCUCAGACAAGGCUCCUUGCCCCUGGGUGAGAAUCUCAGUUGGAGGAAUAAAGAAUCCCUUCUGUAGCUUUGUGGGGAAGGAUUAGUGAGAAGUUCAACCAUGGCUCUCUUUAGACAAAUGAUGAAAAACCUGGUUAUCUCAGCAGCACCUUCCCACCUGUUCCCAGGAGGCCAGGCGUGUGAUGCCAGGAGGCACGAAUGAAGAAUGAAGACCUCACAGACCUCUUGUGACAGCCGUGCAUUCAUUCCCCACUCGGUUGCACGGCACCAUCAGGGCUUCAGCCUUCCGAGAUGUCGCUUCUAGCAAAACAGCAAAAGUCUGAACUUCAAGUCACCUUGACAGCGUAGGAUGAAAAGAGUUUAUUCCCCACAAGUCCAAGAUUUAUACUGGAGUCAAGAAGAAAUAAGGGGGAAGAGUGUCAGCAGUAAUGGUUCGUGGAGCCAAUUUGGGCAGCAGUAAUGCACGUUGGAGGCAGCAAGAAAAGUGGCACAAAGUUCCGGAUCUGGAGCUGACAGGUUUCCUCAGCCCUGAGUUGUCUAAAGCUGACUUUGCAGCGUGACCUGAGCUGUAGGUGCUCUCACAGAAGGUGAGCUCUGCUGGACACCAGCCUCAGCACCAUGGCUCUUGGAAGAUGAGAGUCUUCUUACAGCAUCACUUGGUCCUUUUGGUGGCUCAGUCACACUUCCCGCAGGAGAGGGCCAGCCUGGCUGAGCCUGUAUUUCUUCCUCCCUCAUGGAGUCCUCCUGCUCCGCUCUGGCUCCCGGAGUCCACAGACCUCUGCAUCUCCCUCCAGCAGCCCACCUCUCGUGUGCCAGGCAACGCCUUGGUUUUAACCUUACAACCUGGUUCUAACCGAGAAGUGUUAAUAACCACAGCUACUUAUAACUCACGCACCACAAGCACUUCAGAUUCAUAGCUCAUUUAAUUUGCCCACACCUGGAGAUGUCUGCAUAUGAUCCCCAGUUUGAGAAAGUCGGCAACGAGCAGCACAGUUUGACCUGGGUCUUAACUCAGCCCACUCUGUAACUGUGGAGAACACUACUUUUGAGAACAACCAAGAUCCCCUGGUUUCAUUUCUAUGAGUUCUUUGCACGUGGAGGGAAUCAGCCCUCUGAUGUGUAUGUUACAAGUAUAUCUCCUAGUUCUUUAGGAAGACAUCUCUUCUGCCCUUAGAUAAGGGGUAGCUUUUUCCCUCUCUUGGCUGUGUGAAUAUUGUUCCCCUUGGUGUAGAAGAAGGAAUUCCUGUGUGGCAUUUGCUAGCAGGAUAUUUAGCUUUUUCAUCCAGCACCGACCUGAGUGAUUUAGCACCCUGUGCCUGUUUUCAUACGAAACACACCUUUUUCACAUGAACCAGAGAGGGAAUUCUUGAUGAUCUUCCAUGUUUUCAACAUUUCAGACAAGGUUCUCAGCUGAGAUUCCGUCUUGCUUCCCUUCCUGGGGCUGAGGGUCCAUAUGGGGGCAGAGGCUGGAGAGAGUGAAGGACACACGGCUGGAGGGUGAGGCACUGGCCAUCACACACCUGCCCGGAGCCUCACCUGUCUUGUUUUCCUCCACACCCCCUUAGUGGCUGGGCACAGGCCAAGGUAAAAACCCACAGGGAUGGAGAUAAGGAAGAUCUGGGAAUGCUGCACAGCCUGGGCCCUGCCUGGCAGAGGCCUGGGGCAUUUGCCCAUCACUUUUAUAACUCCAGAGCCUUGUUUCCUGAGUGACCCCCUUACCCUGCCUGAAGUCAUCCCUGUAGCAACAGCUCCCAGAGCUGCCGGGUGCAUCUGACUCCGGCCAGCGACAGGAUCUCAAACGUCCUGAAGUAGAGAUGACUGAGGAUUGGGCGCAGAAAUGGAGAUGGUGUGUCCUAAACAGCCUUCGGUUUUGGCUGAGUUUCACUCCCUGGCUGGUCACCUGGCCUUUGUAGGAUGCUGAGGUGGGGGCCUCUGACCCCCCUCUCGUUCUUUCCCUCUCCUCACCAUCUCCAGGUGCCCCUUUCUCGCCGCUGCCCUGGCCAGCGUGGCCUGGCUUCUCUACUGCUGUCUUCACCUGGGGCAGAUGAACCCAUGGUUCGCCGGCUUUUGACUCCACUUGGCCGCUCAGAUCAGGGCACAUCUGCGGGCCUCCUGGCACAGAGGAAGGAGUCGGCAUCAUUGUCCUGGCAUGGCCACAUCCUGCCGACAUCCCAAGUAUGUGCAUGCUGCCUCUGGCUGUGAGCUUCUCCAUGGUCAGUAUCCAGAGGAGAGCACGUUUGUGUUGCCCCACAAAUUCUAGGUAUUCUCAUGGCAAGUCCUGAAUUAGCAUAAUGCUACCUGGCUCCCAAAAGUUCUUUAGUUUCUUGCAAUUCUGUGUUAAAACAGCCAGUUAAGGCAUUUUUGGAGGUUAGCGUCAUCAAGCCUAUUGGCGUGUUCUGUAAGAGCUUGAAUCAUGUGAGCUGUUUGGCAGCUCUCGUCAGCUGUUGGCAUCAAGAUUUCCCUUUAAUACAGACACCACAGAGUUAAUGGUUAUCAUCUGAUCUGAAAUGGCUCCAGUAAGUCCUUCUCCCUCAUCAGACUCCUGCUGAGGCACACAGGCACCCUCCCCAGUGUCUCCUCUCUGUUCUCCUGCAGAGGAGAAAGUGCUGCCAGCCUUCCCUGUUUCCGCCACAGAUGAUCCUCCCUGACACAGGCUGCUUCUGUCUGCAGCAACCGGAGAAGGCACACCAGGCUUGGGGGGGAGGAAUUGUCCUGUGGCUUCAGUCACUGAACAGCCAGAGGAGAUGGUGCCCCUGGUUGCAGACAGCCCUAGGUCUGGCAGGAGCAGUGCAGCCAGUCAAGGCCCUGUCAAGCCCUUCGCGCUGCUUCCUGGUUUAUUGACACCACAUGUCUGGCACGUGGAGGACGUCAGGCCGGUGCCAUCUUCCACACUGCUGGGUGCCUCCCCCUGUGGCGGCAGAAAGACCCCCAUUCCCAGAGGGGUGUGCACCCUCCAUGGCCUCCCUCAUGUCAUGCAGAGGGCUGUGCUGGACUGGUCCCUCAGGGCCCCGAGACACUCAGCCUUCUUUCUUGGUACUCUCCUGCCCCUUCCCUAUCCUUCAUCCUCCUUCUUCGGUACAUCUGUCAGUUACAGAGGAAGACUGCUGUGUCGAGUGCCUAAGAGUGGGUCCCUGGUGUAUUUCAAAUCUCAGUGAGGGCUGGGCAUGGUGGCUAUGUCUGUAAUCUCGGCACUUUCGGAGUCUGAGACAGGAGGAUCACCUGAGACCAGGAGCUUGAGACCAGCCUGAGCAACAUAGUGGGAUCUCCUCUCUACAGAAACGUAAAAGUUAGCCAGAUGUGGUAGUACACACCUGUAGCCCCAGCAACUCAGGAGGCUGACGUGGGAGGAUUGCUUGAGGCCAGGCAGUCAAGACUGCGAUGAGCCAUGAUUGUGCCACUGUACUCCAGCUUGAGUGACAGAGCGAGACCCUGUCUCUUUAAAAAAACAAACAACACAUCAGUGGGGGAUGGUAGGAAGGGUGUCUCAGGAGCCCACAGGCCCCCUGCCCGCAGCCUGUCCCCAGGUGGGAGGCAUGUCCUCCUGUGAUUCGCUGUCUUCAAGCCUUCAAGCACUUUCUCCUUUGCUUUAUUUUGUUUAAAUAAAAAUUGCCCCUUAGGUGAAUGAAGAGUGUCAUGGUCCACUAGGCACCUGGUAAAAAUGCAAAACCAGUAGUGAAGGCCUCAAAGAAAUAAUGCAUCUGGGAGGACCGUUAGUGAAGCUCUGGUUGUGGCCCGCUACGAUGUCCUUGGCAGUUCUUAAGAUUAAAUUAUCAUUACGUAUUCUUUGAAGUAAAAGAGUUUCUUUCCUGAGUACCUUUGCCAUCAGGGCCUGGCAGUUCUCUCUGCUCCUGUGGCUGCGAUGCACGUGCUGUCUUGGGAGGGCUCUCAGCCGCUGCACACCUGGCCCUGCCUUCCACCUGCAGGACAGCCGUUGGUGCUUGAGGACCAGGCGACACGGUCGUGGGUGAUCCGCAGCUCUUUCAAGGAUACUCUGUAAUCCGUGUUAUUUUCCUUUUCUGAAAAUGCUAAGUGGACUCAUGGUUACUUUCAGCUCAGAGUCAUUUUUCCAGGUAUUUUGCAGGUUUGAGAAAUGUGGCUUCAUCUGCCUUCUCGGUGGCCCUCCCUUCGGGUUCAGUUUCCUCUGUUGCUGGGCUGCUCUUUCUGCAGCUUGUGUCUUUGCCAUUGGAUGAUGCUCAGAAUCAACUUUCCCAGACAGCUGCUGGGCUCGUGACCUCGUGUGAAUUGGUAAAGGGGAAAACUGGACAGCAAACACAUCUAGGAAUAUUUUCUCUUUC